AAACGAUUCCCAUGCAAAUAUGAGUUUCAUGAUCUUUAUCCUCAUGUUUGAUGAGCUUUUGAGGUGAAAAGCUUUCCAACGAUAUCAAUUUUGCAAAAAUUCAAUAAUCGAGUAAAAAGUUAUGACAUUUUUCGUGUGAGGUAGUGAGCUGAUGCUAUCUUGACCCGUUGCGUCGACUGCGCCUCGACACGAAAUCUGACGUCAAUCCAAAGCUGUUUUACAUGCUAAUUCAUAUCCUAAAAGGUCUAGGGACACUUUGGUCAAUUCCCCUCACCCAAAUACGUCCAUAACAUUAAAUUUUAGCCCCCAAAAGCAUUAGAUACAUUCUCAUUCAUCUUUUUUCUCUCCAAGAAAGCCCUAGCCCCCUCAAGAACACCCAAAAACUCCAUCAAAUUUCCUUCAAGAUAGUCAUGAAUCUAAGCUUUCUAAUUCAAGAACUUCAAGAAGAAGCUUCAAGAACACCAUUAGAGAUUCAAAAGUUUAAGCUUUUACAUCCAAUUCAUCAAAUCCAAACUAUUAAGGUAACAUGAAUUUCAAUUUUGGGUUCAUACCCAUUUAUUACUAGUUGAAUAUUAUGAUUUUUAAGUGUUCUUGAUGUUGAAAUACAUGUCUAUUUUCGUAAAUUAAUGCUUAUGACUAUAAUUUUCAGAUUUUGAGUUGAAUUGUGAGUAUUUAUAUUAUCAAGCAUGAACAUUACAAUGUUUUGAGGUGAAUUGAAAGCAUGAGUUAUUAAGCCCUAAUUGAUUAUGGUUAUUUCAAGUAUGAUUAUGCUUUUGAGUAUCCCAUGACAUGAUUUUAGACAGCUUUGCACAAAGAUUUGAUCUUUUGAUCUUUAGCUAAGACAUGGAAUCCACUUUACAGCUUAAACUCAGUUUUGAAUGAACAGAUACAUAGUUAGCUUUCAGUAUGAAAUAUUAUGACUUUUAAAAGUGGAUUUUUCCUACAGUAUGAGCAUAUAAUUAAGGGAGUAGUAUUUAGCACCGAGCGAAAAGUGUGAGAUUAGCGUGUCCUAUCUUCCACAAAACUACAUGCCACUGUAGGAUUAAGAUUAUUUCCACUUCUACGUGGAUGACUCAGAUGUGAUCACUUAGCUCAGGUUAUACUCCCUGGCAAGAGUAUGACACCUCUCCCCAACGUGAGGUUUCUUCCUUAGAAGGACGAGACAUUGGACUCCAUGAUAGCUCGCUCGCAUGAUUUAUGUCGGUUAAGAGAACCUCCCUUACAGAUAAGCUUUUGAAAAAGAAUUUUUCUUGCAGAACAGUCUUUAAGUAUUUUCCCUGUAUGAUGUUUUGCCAUACAUGUAUAUGAGUUCGAUAUAUUGAUAUUCAAUUAUAUAAAUAGUAUUUGAUUUGGUAUUUUGAUCCUUUGAAUGAGUAUUGGAAUCCACUUUGCACCUUUAAUUAUGAUAAAUGCAUAACUAAUUUCAUAGUAAACCCUUAUGUGAGUUUUAAUAUGGAUUUUCAUGAGAUGAGCAUAGACAAUUAAAGAGAGUAGUAUUUAACACCGAGUUUGGUAUGAUUCCAAGGGCUUAUACCCCAAAACUACGUUCCACCAUAGGAUUGAGAAUUUAAGUGCCACGUUAAACUCUUUGGCAAGAGUAUUACACCUUUGCCUAAUGUGAGGUUUCUUCCUUAGGAGGAUGAGAUAUUGGACUCCAUGUAGCUCGCUUGGUUUAUGUCGGUUAAGAGAAACUCCUUUGUAGAAUGGUCUUUAAAGUAUUUUACCUACAGCUUAAUAGUAAAGAUUUUCAGAUUAGUUUCUAAAAGUAUUUUCCCUAAUAGUAAAGGCUUUCAGAAAAGAUUAAUACAAACAACUUUUAGAAAACUAAGGAUAAAGGCUCACGAAUUUAUUUAGAUUAUGUCUUACAGAAAGAUAUCAGCUUUCACAUUUCAGAUUUAAAGAGUGAGUCCUUUCUACACUUAGACAGUAUGAUUUAAAGAAAGAAUUCAAGUACAUCUUUUAGAAUUGGAUGUUAUGGCUCACAAGAUUUAUAAAGUAUGAAUUGCUCUUAUUGCUUCAGAUUUCAGUAUUUUAGACAUUCUAGCUUAUGUGAGUCAUUUACAUUUAGCAUGCAUUGUUUCACAAAUUAUGAUGAUGAGAUGAUGUUUUACUUAUGCAUUUCACCCCCUUAUACUCAAUACAUCCUCAAAGUACUGAUCCACAUAUAUGUCUAUGUGCUACAUUGUCUCAUAAUGUAGGUACAAGUUUUAGUAUGCACAUUCAAACUCAGACAAUUGCAGAUUCCAGCCAGCAAGAUAAUGAGUCCUCUUACUUCGGGGACUUCGAUUAGAUUUAUUUAUGUUCUUUGCUUUCUUCAUUCAGUCGUAUUGAUUCGGGAUAGCUGGGGUUCAUGUCCCGGCUACCUAAAAUCAAUGCUAGUAGAGGCUUCAUAGACAGUCAGUUGAGUUGUGUAUUUUUAUUUCGGUUUUGGUUUUACAUAAAGCAGAGUUGUAAAUAUUUUCCUACAGUUGUAUUGAUCAUAUUCAGAAUAGAGUUAUCUUCUGGUUAUUUUGUUCAGAUUUAUGUAUUUUAUUCAGUUGCUCAUGAGUUAUGCCAGUAGAAGGGUUAGCUUGGGAUCACUUGUGACCCUAAGCACCGUGUGACGUCUCAAAAUCCGUUUUCGAGGCGUUACAAAACCCCACCCCUUGACCGUCACAGCCCAUUGAUUGAAAACUUUUUCUAUUGAGUGUUAGUUGAUCCUUUCAACGUCUGAACUAACUAAAUCAAAAGCUUAAUUCGAAAGACGUGAUGACAUC
Molecule: long non-coding RNA, 2756 nt
Filed under: Capsicum annuum
Lineage: Eukaryota; Viridiplantae; Streptophyta; Magnoliopsida; Solanales; Solanaceae
Description: long non-coding RNA (CANN_LNC010632)
Source: RNAcentral